RNAcentral lists this unclassified non-coding RNA (262 nucleotides) under Hevea brasiliensis (rubber tree). The record is from RNAcentral. Lineage: Eukaryota; Viridiplantae; Streptophyta; Magnoliopsida; Malpighiales; Euphorbiaceae.
GUUGAUAUCAGCUCAAGACCCUUGUCCGCUAUGACCGUAGGGGAGAUUAUUUUCAUGUAAACUCCCGUUCCUAGAAGUGUUACCAAAAGAAGAAGUGAUGCCAAACCGUUGCAUCGGUAGUGAAGGCGGGAUCCGUCGGCGAGAACGGCGCCGGGAACCAGCUUGCCGGGGAGAACAGAUCCAGAGAUCGCCAAGUAACCGAAGUAGUAGCUGAGGAGAGUAACCGAGGACCAAGACGGAGCCAAUGCUGAGAGAAUCGCCG